GGAGAAUUGACAUAAAAGAGAGGCUGUUGAAUGUGGAGGAUGGUUUCAGAAGACAUCUAAUGAAGCCUCUGAGCAUGGACCAGUAAGCAUAUCAUUCCACUAAUUUAGGAGGAAAGGCUAUGAAAGCUAUAAAGGCAUCACUGGCGUUGACGUGAAGAAUCAAAGAGACAAUGGACACUGGAUGUGGAGGCUACAAGGAUACUCUCUCUCUUUUUCCUGAAGAUCACCCUUUUUUGAUGAUGAAUCUCUGCAGUGGUUUUACGUUAGCUGUUUGUUAUAAUUUUAAAAGCUUGUGUUCUGUUCCUAUUAGCUUUAAUUUCCUAGACUAUGGAUUCUUGCCCCUCCCUUUACACAAUUUAUGCACAGUAACCCAUACUAUGCCCAUUAUCUGUUAUUUAAAGGACUUUUAAUUGCUCUUGUUUUGAUAUUAGUUUACAUUUAAUUGUGAUUAUUACAUACACUUCCAUUGUGCUAUCUUAUGCUUGGAACUUUGACCCACUAUGAAAAAGAAAAAGAAAAAAAAAACAACAAAAAAGCCAAUCAAAUGCUAACACUACUUUCAGAAUCUGUCAAUUUUGACUAUUUUGGCUAAACGGGAAAUAUAUUUUAAAGGGCUAAUACAUAUAACUCUCUACAAUAAACAUGACUGAGGACAAGGGGUUUAUCUAAUGUCAAAGAUCAAGAAAGUUAGGAAGUAUAAGCCCACACAAGUUAAUAGGUUAAUACAGACAUGAUUGUAUGAAGUUGUAUGGCUUGGGUUCUGCAAGUGAUCUAAUGUUUCCUUCUGGACUUAAUUUAAAAAAAGGGUAGAUUUCCCUAGCUGAGACUUACAAAAGAAAAUAAAACAAAAGCAUAAAAGCAAAAAAAAAAUCAGUUUGUAAUUUUUUAAAAAUGUAUUUAGCUGUGAACUUAAGGACAAAGUAGGCAAGAGCAUUAUCUGCCAGGCAGGUCCUCCAAUUUACCCAUAGAACCAUGAAGACCUCCCCACACACAUGCAUUAAUUUGGAUUGACUGCUUUGGAGACUAAAGCCAAGAUCUUCACAGCUAUUUAGAGGCAUAACUCCCAUUGGUAUAAACAAUGUUAGGUGCCCCAUAUACUACUGGUAAUCUGAGUCUGAAAGCCACCCUAUCUAUAUAUGCAGGCGUAGUUCAGAGAGCAACACAGCCAAUACAUAGUUCCUAGCUGCAGAUCCUCCAAGGUAUUGGGAAACUUAACUCCAAGUCAGUGGUAGUUAGGCUCCAAAAUACCUUUGAGGAUCUGAGCAUUAAACAAUUAGUUAUGGAACUGGAACUAGCCUCUUAGUUCUAUGUCCAAGAUACAGCUAAUUUUUUAAUGUGACAACAAGUAAACUAAAAGUGAAUUUCCAUAUAUAUUCUAGAAAGAGUGCAAACAAAAAUAUUCUCUAAGGGUAUGUCUACACUAGCCCCCUAAUUCAAUCUAG
Non-coding RNA from Pelodiscus sinensis (Chinese soft-shelled turtle), 1442 nucleotides. NCBI's taxonomy places the organism in Eukaryota, Metazoa, Chordata, Testudines, Trionychidae. The record is from RefSeq and is a predicted model, not a curated record.